AACGAACGCUGGCGGCAGGCCUAACACAGGCAAGUCGAACGCCCCGCAAGGGGAGUGGCAGACGGGUGAGUAACGCGUGGGAACCUUCCCAGUGGUACGGAAUAACUGACCGAAAGGUUGGCUAAUACCGUAUACGCCCGCAAGGGGAAAGAUUUAUCGGCAUUGGAUGGGCGCGCGUCGGAUUAGCUAGUUUGUGAGGUAAUGGCUCACCAAGGCGACGAUCCGGAGCUGGGCUGAGAGGAUGGUCAGCCACACUGGGACUGAGACGCGGCCCAGACUCCUACGGGAGGGAGCAGUGCGGAAUAUUGGACAGUGGGCGCAAGCGUGAUCCAGCCAUGCCGCGUGAGUGCUGAAGGUCUUCGGAUUGUAAAACGCUUUCACCGACGAAGAUAAUGACGGUACCGGGAAAAGAAGCUCCGGCUAACUUCGUGCCAGCCGCCGCAGUAA
This 447-nucleotide ribosomal RNA is filed under the name uncultured bacterium. Its description in RNAcentral is "partial 16S ribosomal RNA". It matches the Rfam family "Bacterial small subunit ribosomal RNA", at positions 29 to 523 of the family's 1533-position model. The record is from RNAcentral.